This is a long non-coding RNA of Oncorhynchus tshawytscha (Chinook salmon), 355 nucleotides long. The record is from Ensembl. NCBI's taxonomy places the organism in Eukaryota, Metazoa, Chordata, Actinopteri, Salmoniformes, Salmonidae.
GAGAGGAGAGGAGGCAAGGAGAGGAGUAGAGAAGAGCAGAGAGGAGCAGAGAGGAGGAGAGGAGAGGAGCAGAGAGGAGGCGAGGAGAGGAGCAGAGAGGGGGUGGGGAGAGGAGCAGAGAGGAGGUGAGGAGAGGAGCAGAGAGGAGGUGAGGAGAGGAGCAGAGAGGAAGUUAGGAGAGGAGCAGAGAGGAAGUGAGGAGAGGAGCAGAGAGGAGGUGAGGAGAGGAGCAGAGAGGAAGUGAGGAGAGGAGCAGAGAGGAGGUGAGGACAGGAGCAGAGAGGAGAAGAGCAUAGAGGAGGAAAGGAGAGGAGCAUAGAGGAGGAGAGGAGAGGAGCAGAGAGGAGGAGAGGAG